Molecule: ribosomal RNA, 468 nt
Filed under: uncultured bacterium
Lineage: Bacteria
Description: partial 16S ribosomal RNA
Rfam family: Bacterial small subunit ribosomal RNA
Source: RNAcentral
GACGAACGCUGGCGGCGUGCUUAACACAUGCAAGUCGAACGGAAAGGCCCUGCUUUUGUGGGGUGCUCGAGUGGCGAACGGGUGAGUAACACGUGAGUAACCUGCCAUUGACUUUGGGAUAACUUCAGGAAACUGGGGCUAAUACCGGAUAGGAGCUCCUGCUGCAUGGUGGGGGUUGGAAAGUUUCGGCGGUUGGGGAUGGACUCGCGGCUUAUCAGAUUGUUGGUUGGGUAGUGUCUUACCAAGGCUUUGACGGGUAGCAUGCCUGGUAGGGUGACCGGCCACGUUGGGACGGGACUGCGACCCGGCCCAGUCUGGUACGGGAGAGAGGAGAAGAUAGUACUGGAGGCGGAGCGCUAGCGUAGUCCCGCCGUGUGGGGUAUGAGGGCCAUCGGGUUGGAUUGCAAUGUUCUCUGUGCCGAGACGUGAGUGACGGUAAUGGGUGAAGAAGCACCGGCUAACUACGUG